RNAcentral lists this transfer-messenger RNA (353 nucleotides) under Alkalispirochaeta americana. RNAcentral's name for it is "Standard tmRNA". It matches the Rfam family "transfer-messenger RNA". From Rfam's summary of the family: Bacterial tmRNA, also known as 10Sa RNA or SsrA, is named for its dual tRNA and mRNA-like properties. Its role is to liberate the mRNA from a stalled ribosome. The record is from Rfam by way of RNAcentral. Lineage: Bacteria; Pseudomonadati; Spirochaetota; Spirochaetia; Spirochaetales; Spirochaetaceae.
GGGGGUGUUCCGGAUUCGAUUGAGGUGGUCCCGUGUAACUCGUUGCAGGUGGAGCGUCAUCUCCUGAUUGACAUUUUUUUAUCUGCCGAUGAAGCAGACUUUCUCCCUGUUGCUGCGUAAGUAGCUAGGGCGGGCGCGGGUUGCGCCGUUCUGAGCAGCCCGUUGCUUGACAGAAACCAGGACUUGCCACCGGUUGUUUCCGGCUGAUCGGUGGGACUCUUUGUCGGAAUAGAGUAGCGUAAGGUUUGUUCGAGCACCAAAUACGUUACCGACACAUUCAAGCACGAACUAAACCUGUAGAAGCGUUUUGCCGGCACCUUAAGACGCGGGUUCAACUCCCGCCACCUCCACUG